GCAAGAUGCAUACGAUUUUGGAUGAAAUCAUUUCUGGUGGGCAAGUGCUGGAGACUAGUUCCUCUGAAGUGAUGAAGGCUGUUGAAGAAAUAUCCAAGUUAGAAACAGCCUCAAAUUCUAUCAACUUUGUCUCAAAAACAGUUUCUGGUUGGCGGGGUUGAGUUUGCUGUUUUAAGUGAGCUGGUUAAACGAUUCAGCAGGCAUUCUUUGCUAGAUCUGUUGUUGAUUUUGACUGAUUACUCGGAUAGGCAACGACACAUUCACAUCGUUAAUAGACAGAUUUCAGAUGCCUGCUGAGUAGAGAGCAUUUAUCUCGACUGGUUGGUUCUUAAUGGCCAUGAUCCAGCACCUACUUGAUGCUAUUUUGAA
RNAcentral lists this unclassified non-coding RNA (369 nucleotides) under Hevea brasiliensis (rubber tree). Lineage: Eukaryota; Viridiplantae; Streptophyta; Magnoliopsida; Malpighiales; Euphorbiaceae. The record is from RNAcentral.